RNAcentral lists this ribosomal RNA (472 nucleotides) under Bacillus sp. (in: firmicutes). RNAcentral describes it as "bacterial SSU rRNA". It matches the Rfam family "Bacterial small subunit ribosomal RNA", at positions 953 to 1426 of the family's 1533-position model. Lineage: Bacteria; Bacillati; Bacillota; Bacilli; Caryophanales; Bacillaceae. The record is from RNAcentral.
GAAGCAACGCGAAGAACCUUACCAGGUCUUGACAUCCUCUGACAACCCUAGAGAUAGGGCUUCCCCUUCGGGGGCAGAGUGACAGGUGGUGCAUGGUUGUCGUCAGCUCGUGUCGUGAGAUGUUGGGUUAAGUCCCGCAACGAGCGCAACCCUUGAUCUUAGUUGCCAGCAUUCAGUUGGGCACUCUAAGGUGACUGCCGGUGACAAACCGGAGGAAGGUGGGGAUGACGUCAAAUCAUCAUGCCCCUUAUGACCUGGGCUACACACGUGCUACAAUGGGCAGAACAAAGGGCAGCGAAGCCGCGAGGCUAAGCCAAUCCCACAAAUCUGUUCUCAGUUCGGAUCGCAGUCUGCAACUCGACUGCGUGAAGCUGGAAUCGCUAGUAAUCGCGGAUCAGCAUGCCGCGGUGAAUACGUUCCCGGGCCUUGUACACACCGCCCGUCACACCACGAGAGUUUGUAACACCCGAAG